UACGUAGGGCGCAAGCGUUGUCCGGAAUUAUUGGGCGUAAAGAGCUUGUAGGUGGCUUGUCGCGUCUGCUGUGAAAUCCCGGGGCUCAACUCCGGGCCUGCAGUGGGUACGGGCAGGCUAGAGUGCGGUAGGGGAGAUUGGAAUUCCUGGCGUAGCGGUGGAAUGCGCAGAUAUCAGGAGGAACACCGAUGGCGAAGGCAGAUCUCUGGGCCAUUACUGACACUGAGAAGCGAAAGCAUGGGGAGCGAACAGG
Molecule: ribosomal RNA, 253 nt
Filed under: uncultured bacterium
Lineage: Bacteria
Description: partial 16S ribosomal RNA
Rfam family: Bacterial small subunit ribosomal RNA
Source: RNAcentral